Molecule: ribosomal RNA, 471 nt
Filed under: uncultured bacterium
Lineage: Bacteria
Description: bacterial SSU rRNA
Rfam family: Bacterial small subunit ribosomal RNA
Source: RNAcentral
UGGCCAGACUCCUACGGGAGGCAGCAGUGAGGAAUAUUGGUCAAUGGGCGGGAGCCUGAACCAGCCAAGUCGCGUGAAGGAAGAAGGUACUUAGUAUUGUAAACUUCUUUUGUCGGGGAACAAAGGCGGAGACGCGUCUCCGGAUGAGUGUACCCGAAGAAAAAGCAUCGGCUAACUCCGUGCCAGCAGCCGCGGUAAUACGGGGGAUGCAAGCGUUAUCCGGAUUUAUUGGGUUUAAAGGGUGCGUAGGCUGUGAGGUAAGUCAGCGGUGAAAUGCCCCCGCUCAACGGGGUGAAGUGCCAUUGAUACUGCCUUGCUGGAAUGCGGAUGCCGUGGGAGGAAUGUGUGGUGUAGCGGUGAAAUGCAUAGAUAUCACACAGAACACCGAUUGCGAAGGCAUCUCACGAAUCCGCGAUUGACGCUGAUGCACGAAAGCGUGGGUAUCAAACAGGAUUAGAUACCCUCGUAAAU